This is a long non-coding RNA of Astyanax mexicanus (Mexican tetra), 1382 nucleotides long. RefSeq lists it as uncharacterized. The transcript is spliced from 2 exons. Lineage: Eukaryota; Metazoa; Chordata; Actinopteri; Characiformes; Acestrorhamphidae. The record is from RefSeq and is a predicted model, not a curated record.
AGACAACAACAGCUGGAUGAAGCCUUACUGGACAUGAUCGUUUCUGAUUGUCAGCUUUUGUCAAUUGUGGACAAUGAUGGCUAUAAGGCUUUUAUCAAGCUUUUGGACCCCACCUACACUGUUCCAAGCAGGAAAGCACUGAAGAAAAAACUGGACAAGAAAUACAAGGUGACCAUGAAAAUGCUAUGGCUAAGAUGGGAAAAGUCUCAACUGUCAGCCUAAAAGCUGAUAUGUGGACAUCCAUAAACAUGGAUGCUUACCUUGCUGUGACCUGUGACUUCAUUACAGAUGAGACAAGCUGUCCACUCUCCUAUUAGGGGUAACAAAAUUUCCCUAUUUCCACACUGCAGCCCACUUUGCUGAAGCUAAGAAAACCCUAAUCGCUAAAUGGGGAAUCAGAUGCAAAUUUCAAAGCCUUGUAACUGACUGUGCUGCUCAGUUAAAUGUGCGCCACACUGUGACUGUUGCUGUUUUGCCCAUGUCUUGAAUUUGAUUGUAAAAAAGUCACUCACACAAACUCCUGAGCUUGAGGAAAUUCGCACUAUAGCAAGAAGAAUAGUUGGAUAUUUUAAAUUAAGCACAACAGCCAAAGAAAAACUGUCUGAGGUUCAGAGCAAAUAGGAAAACCUCAGCAUAAGCUUAUACAGGAGGUGGACACUCGCUGGAACAGUACAUUCAACAUGUUACAAAGACUUUAUGAACAACGGGAACCACUGGUAGCAUCUCUCACCAGCCUUGUGGUGUUCUCAUCAGAGGAGUUUAAAACAAUUAAUCAGUGUGUUCAAGUACCGUGGUCAUUCCAGCAAGCAACGGUGGAGUUGUCUGAAGAGAAAAGAGUCUCAGGCUCUAAAAUCAUUCCAAUGGUCAACACUACAGUGCCAGACAAUGUGCCCUGAAGACACAUCAUCAUCUCGGUGCAAAACUGGCCAACAACAUCAACACCAAUUUAAAUGAGAAGUUCGCUGUAAUAAAGAAGAUGACUGCACUUUCAUUAUCAACAUUGCUUGACCCAAGAUACAAACAACCAGAGAAUGUGCCGGCUUCAUUGUGACUGCAGUGCCCCAGGAAUCUGUCCCAUCAGUGCCACCUCCAGAUGUACAGGACAGGAAUCUCUGGGGGCUUCUGGACAGCCAUGUGGAGGCAGAGCAGCGAGCACCCAGUGCAACUGCCAGUGCUAUAGCCGAGGUGAAGAGGUACCUAAGAGAUGCACACCUGUCAAGAGUGGAGGACCCCCUAAAGUACUGGGCUGAACACAAAGUUGUGUAUCCUCAACCUGUAUUUUUUAGGUUGCUGUUCAGUACCUCUGCACACCAGCCUCAUCUGUGCCAUGUGAAAGUUUUUUUUUAAGACUUUUAUUCCUAAAUAAAUAUGUAUCUUUGUAA